GAAUCUUAGUAGCUGAAGGCUAACUUUCAUGCUUCUGUGCAUUUUUCUGGGGAGAGGUUUAUCAGAUAUGUGAAGAGGCCACGACUCCCAAGAGACUAAGGCAGACAAAAAGAACUCUGGCUUCUGGCUCUUGGCUCGGGAGGCACAGAGAGAAGGGGAGCUUAUCCAAAUCAGAAUUCCAGAAGCUGCAGGCUUUCCCUGUGGAAAGAACUGUCCUGUGGUACCCACUGCAGCCGGGAAGUGUGCUUGCCUCUGGGGGGUCCCCGCACCUGGCUGGAGAAGGUACCCAGGACCGCAGAUCUUCGCAUCCAAGCAGGGUCCGAAGGCCACUGAGGCAUUUCCCACCCCCAACGGUCGCUCUUCGGAGCAGGGUUUUCUCGAGGAGAGCGUAGCGGCUCCAGCGGAUCAACGCGUCUGGUGGCCCAAGCUCGGCUUCCGAUUUCAUUUAACACAAGCCGCGCAUCUUAUCUCUGCGUCCCCUCCCCGGGGUUCCCACUCCGCCCUCCCUCC
This 510-nucleotide long non-coding RNA is filed under the name Suricata suricatta (meerkat). RNAcentral's name for it is "lncRNA (ENSSSUG00005019624.1)". The record is from RNAcentral. Lineage: Eukaryota; Metazoa; Chordata; Mammalia; Carnivora; Herpestidae.